RNAcentral lists this long non-coding RNA (4835 nucleotides) under Coffea arabica (coffee). Its description in RNAcentral is "long non-coding RNA (CARA_LNC005753)". The record is from RNAcentral. Lineage: Eukaryota; Viridiplantae; Streptophyta; Magnoliopsida; Gentianales; Rubiaceae.
UCCGUAGAUUUUUUAACCUUAUAGCCUCAGCUGAGAGAAAAAGCAGAAACCAAAUAAAAAGAAGAAAGAAAAGAAAAGAAAAAGAGAGACUUGUCUUAGCAGUAUUACUACUAGACUACAAAGCUACAUAGACAAUAGUGGUACUUUACUCCACUGUCUCGUUCUCUCUCUUAAGAAACCUCAGCUAAAACAUUUUCGUUUCUCUCUCUACUCUUUUUCUCCUCCAUUUCCAGACCUAAAAGCGGUAGGGUUUUGUCCUUCUUUCGCUCUUUAAUUAAUCUGGGUUGGUCUUGAAUCAGUUUAUGAGGUUGGUGUAUUUUUCUUGACUGAUUUUUUUGCUGUUGGAUGACAGGUUUUUGGGAAGUGGCCGUGGAGGGAAACAUUUCUGGGUGACGAGGGCUGUUUUGAUCUGACAAAUCUGAGUUUCCGGGAAGGUAUGGUUUCUCAUCUUCGUUGUGUGAUUAUUUUUGUGGGUUUUGGGGGGGGAGAUAAGUGGGGUGGUUAUGGUUUUUGGUGAUUUCUACGAGGUUUGUAAUUUUUUUAGCUGGGUUUUGGGCUGAUAUGUAGUUUCCUUGUGUGGAUCACUGUUUACUAGUGGGUUUAUGCUUUUUAUUGGGGUGUUAAUUCAUGUCCUUUUCUGGCUCCAUUUCUUAUCUGGUUUCAUUUAUUUGAUGGUAUUUUUGUUCAUUUCUAGAUUAUUUCGUAUGCCUUAAACGGUUAUCACGGUUGGAUUUUGUCUUAAGAUUUCAGUAUGCAAAAAAAAACCCUAAUUUUGGUUCUGGAAAAUCUGAGCCAGAUGAAUCUCAGUCGGUGUAACUUUUUAAAGGUCUGUUUGGAUGUGCUUUGUGGGCUUUUUGUCAAUUGAUGAAUUCUGUCGAUAGCUUUAUCUUUUAAUUUGGCUUCCAGUUAGUUAGAUCAGCAUUUUUAUUUUUGAAAAAGUGAAACCCUAGUGUUGGUAUGAGAAGUCAUGGUCAUUUUGUGCAUGGUUUUGAAGAUUUCUCAGUCGGUUUUGUGAUUUGUCCACUUUAACACAUGCAAGAGCGGAUAUGGUUGCUUUUUAUGCAGCUUUAUUUUUUCCUGUCAUUUGGAACUAGGGUUUUUUACUUUAUGCUAAUAAGUGACCUUGAUUUUUGCGGUCUAUUGGAAUUCAUUUUGAUUUUCUAUUGGUGAUCAUUUUCUGGGUAAUUGUAUGAUUAACGCUGCACUAGAAGGUUUGGUUUGGGUGUCAUAUGAUUUGGUGUUGGAGGAUGAAUCUCACUGUGUGUGUGUGUGUCAUUUUGGGGAAUUUGAGUCAUAAACCAUUCUUGACUUUUAGAAAUCUGACUUGUGUGGAUCUCGUGUAUGUGCUGCAUGAGCCAAGUCAGUUUUUGUAGCUUAUCUCAUUUGUUUUACUUCACAAUUGACUUAUUUAUGUUAUAAAAUAAAUUUCCUCUUGGUGCAGUGGUUUGGACAUGGAGACAAAUAACAACACAGUGGAAGAAAAUCCUCCACCCAAGUCUUCAGCACCUCUUAUUCCAAUCAGUUCAAUUUGUAUAGAACUACCACCAGCUCCAGUGGUGGUUAGGCAGCCCGGAAAUUGUCAUGACAACUUUUGUUUACGGUAAGCCUUUCUUUUUCAUCUGUUUGAAACUUUGUGUGACUUCCAAAAAUGAGAUAGAAAUUAUCAAAAAUGACUUUGUACAUGCACGCACGCACGCACGCACGAAUGCAGCACACACACAGAGAUAUACAUACAUAUAUAUACAUAUAUAUAUAUAUAUAUAUUCCUUCUUUGAAGAUAUGUUGCAAUCUUAAGUAUUACAUAGGAGUCUGAGCAACAUGAAUCAUCUGCAUGGAAAUUGUUGUUUCUGGUAUUCAGGUUGACUUCAUACUCUUUUUGAUAAAGCAAAAGCAUAAUUCACAUAAUGGUGAAUGGCUAUAACCAUUGUCCAUAUGGAUUAAAAAACCAGGAAUGAGAUGAUAUUAUAUAUGUUCGCAAUUAGGUUUUAGAAGACACUAGACAGACUUGUUAGGAUUCAGAAGUCAUUAGAUAGAUAUGGUGACUAAUGAAUCAAGUUCUGCUAAUGUUUUAAAGAAUUUUGUCUUUUUGUGAGAAUUGACUGACUUUUGAGUAUUGCUGCUUAUUCAAAUGUCUUUUUGAUUCUGGCAGUGAGUAUGUACUUGAAAAGAGGAGCACUAAUCCCAGUGGUUCCGGGCUGUUUUCACCGGAUGACCCCAUCGGUUCCAUGGAACAACUUCCACCGAUGGAGGUCCCGAGAUUUAGAUUUUGGCGCUGCACAGAUUGUGUUAGUGAAUUCGAGAGCACUACUGGUAAUACAUGAUUUAAUCUUAUUGCUUUCCUGGUUGAUCAAUCACCAGUAGUUUUUUUUUUUUGAUGCAACCUUUUUCUGCGUGCAGCUAAAGUGCUCCAGGAAACACAGGAAGGUGCUGCAACACUAAAUACUGAGGGCAUUCAAGCUGUUAAUGCGAACGUUUGCUUGAAUGCAAAUACAGUAGAAGGUUCGUUAUCACUAGCUAGAAUGGAUGAGAUGGGUGCUGUAGGUAUGCUUUUCCAAUAUAGCUUGUUCAAUUUAGUGAAAAACAUCUAUAGAUGACUUUGCUAUAUAUUUCUGUAUUCUCUAAGUGCUCCCAACUUUAUUUGCAGAUGAUAAAAAUGAGACAAAUGAACCAGUGGAGGAUGCAGCUGAAACUAAUAUAAAUGGAGUAGCUGUUGAGACAAGAGAAGAUACUCCUAGUGGUAUGUCUCUAUCGAUUCUCUUAUGGUUUUUGCAGGAAUUUAUAUGUUAAAUUUUUUAGCAGUUUAACUUGGAUGUUGUGUAUAUGUUCUGAUAUUCAGAAAUGUAACUGUUUUUGCAGGUCAUGUCAAUGUACCAGCACAAGAAGUUACUGCUGAUGCCAAUAUCAGUGCUCCAAGUGAGCUGCACGAAUCUGCUGAUCAGAAUGCUCGUGACACACGUAACACUGCACCAGCUGAUCCUGAAAGUGAACAGUGCCGGGACCAUGAAAAUGCAACUGGUAUGCCGCGUAAAAAAGUUAGAAAGGUCCGGUUGUUGACGGACCUUCUGGGUGAAAAGAGCAGUUCAAGAUGUGGUGCAAGAGAAGCUGUGCCACUUGAACCUUCUCGGCCAGAGAACACCGGGUCUGAGGGUCAGAUUAAUCCCAGCAAAGACAUUCAUAGCAGUGUCCGUAGUCCUCUCAGAAAAACUAAGCCUGUUGGGGAAGAAGACGAGAGAAAUGAUCCCACCAACGUGGCAGUAAACACUAAGGCUCCCAGGAGAGAUACUGGGAAAGCCAUUAUGAUGGUGGAAGCCCGUGACUCAGAAGAGGAAGUGAAUGCCUGUGGUGGAGAAGGAUUAUUCAUUGGAACAAAGAGCGAACGGUUGAGGCACAGACGCAGCAGCACAACUCCUGCACUUGGUAGGCAAAAUAGCAAGCAGCCUCAAGUACUUGAUUGUGGUACCAUUCCAUCUUUGACAAGACGAGUACAGGCUCCUUCAGAAGCUGGGAAUUUUGGGAAUCUCCAGUCUGCUGAACAAAGAGAGCACGGUCAUAUUGAUUUGGCAUCUGGAGGGUUAAAUCCACUACUAUCUCUCAACAAUGCUGCUGAAGGACUUGAUCUUUCUCUCGACAUUUUUGCUAAGAAAGCUAUCAAUCAAAGCAGUGAGGGUGUUAGGAAGGCUGGGAUGCUUUUUGGGAAACCUCUUACACCGAAUCAGUCUGAUGGAUAUCAGAGAAGAAGUCCCCAGUUUGAUCUCAAUGAGAGAGCUUCACAUAAGGAAAUGGUAAUCCUCGUCUACAUAUUCAUUGUCUUUACAAGUGAAUUUUGUGCAUUGUUGGUGUAGUCAAUUCCUUCUUACGUGAUGUCCAUCCUUUCAGGAUUUUCUCCAGCUGGGUUUCAAUGGAAAAAGCUCUGGAGUUCCAGGAAAUUUGAAAGAAAGUGAUCACAAGGCAGAUGAUAUCCCCAUGGACAUCGUUGAGCUACUGGCGAAGCAGCAGUAUGAAAGGAGGAAUGGAGAUGCAGGAGCAAGUUCUGGACCUUCUGGUGCUCAUGUGACCAGCAACACAGCAAGGGGGUUUCUUGAGGUAGGCGAGAUAAGGACUGUGGGGCAGUUCGUAAAGGAAUUUCCCAACUUCCCUAGCUUCCGAGGUGUUAACUCGCGAAGUGGGAUUUCUACAGCAAGCAAUUACAUAGGGUCUGCUAAGGGAAACUCCACUAAUUUCUCGCACAUGGGAAGAAACAAUUUCAAAUUGUUCCAAGGAGGGGAAAAUCAACUCAACAGCAUUUUCACGGCUUUCGCACAUAACCAGCACAAACAAUAUGGCGGAGUUCAAGUUCCUGCUACUACUUCCGUGAGGCCUGAUUUGCCGUGCAGUGAACCUGUGGACCCUUUAUUGUUAUCAGGACCUACCAAAUUGUCUUUUGAACUUGGGGUGCAACAGAAGCUUCCUGGUGAGCAACAUAAAGGCAAAACUAUCAGCGACAUCAAGGCAGAUGAGCUUAAAAGAACUGAGGAAGCUAGGCUAAUGUUAUCUAAACCAGGAGAUACCAUUGUUAGCUCAAAAGAAAGGGGCCCACUAGAUGCCUAUGCUAAUGAUAGCAUUCCAGCAAUGCAGCUACUAAGUCUCAUGGAUGGGCGGCCAUCAGGAGCUACUUUCAAUUUGGGCUCAAGCAAGAUCGUGGACAAGCCAUUUGCUCCCUGCAGUUAUCACCCCAGGUUCAGCACAAAUGAGAGACAGGAUUUCCUGAACCGGUCCUUCCUUUCAAGCCCAAGUCACCCAAAGGAAACUUCUGGCCUCAGGAUUUCUUAUUCUGAUAUCUACCAAAGAUCGAGGCC